This 5327-nucleotide long non-coding RNA is filed under the name Homo sapiens (human). RNAcentral describes it as "HSALNT0123586". The record is from RNAcentral. Lineage: Eukaryota; Metazoa; Chordata; Mammalia; Primates; Hominidae.
CUGAAAAUUUUACAAGGUUUUCACUUAGUUUUGCUAAAAUGUCCAUCUCUUCAUCUUGUUUCAAUUGUGAGUCAAUUGUGUGGCAUGGGUACAAUUAUGCUCUCUUCAUAUGCAGAAUUAAUGUCAUUUUUUUUACUAUAGAUAUUUUCCAUUUUUCACCUGAGACCACAGGCCAAUUUCAAAAAGAAUAUUUACUUCUAAUUAUGUAGCUUCUAUUACAUAGCUAGUAUUGUCUUUGUUUACUUCAUGUAUAUGCCAAAAAGACCUCAUGACUUAUGAAACGUUCAACUGUUUACUUAAAUUGGCCCAAUAAAUUUAAUAAACUCAAUUAUGUCAAUUUUAUAAAGUAAAAUGAACAGUAACUAAACAAAAACUGGAUUCAAUAGCAUUCUCUAAUUGAAACAAAAUAUAAAAUACACUAAAUAACAUACAAUACACGCACUGUGAAAUUACUCACGUGAAAAUUAUUUUGUGAACACCAUUAAAUUUUAUCAAAGUCACUUUCAUAAUCUCUGAGGUGAUUAUACAAAGAAUGUUUUAUGAAAAGAAAAUUAUGUCUAUGGUGAGCAACAGGCAAACAGACAAACAACAAAAAAAGAAUUUGCACAAGAUGAUUCUAAGCCAGGAGCAAUAACAUUUUAGAUAAAUGAAUUUAAUACACAGCAGAGAAAAUAGAUUUGCUUUCAAAAUCUCUGAAGUUUCUGGUUUGCUGGUAAGUGAUCAACACUUGUAAAAUUAUCUGUUCAUUCUAAUAUUUUUCUUUUCUUCUCAAAGUAGGUACACAACCAUAAACAAAUAUGAUUACUUUCUCUAUAAAUCUGUUACACCUGAAGUUUAUUUUACAGUGAUAUAUCUAUAUAUUUAAAUCCAUGUAAACCAAAACUAAAGGUCUGUAUGUGUUUAGCAGACCAGAGAAGUCAUAUGUUCAACAGAAAAAAGUAGGAUAAAAUUUUAUAAAUAGUUGUUCAGAAUUCAGAAACAUAUAGCUCCAAUUAUACUCAUAAUCUUCAUUACAACCAUCAUAAUAAUCUGUAGUUACAAGUAAACAAAAAUGUAAGUUGUAGAAACCAUAUUCUCUAAAUUAUUUUAAGUUAAAGACCACUGACAAAGGGAUCACUAGAGAUGUUAGUCCACUGUCACCCAAUAGUAUAUUGUUACCUACAACCUUGGGUAAGAUGGGAUAAGUUAACAUCAGUGGCAAGAUACACAUUCAAUGUAAAAUAGCCUUAACACAAUAACAAUAAUUUUGGUUUAUUAAAACAAAUUAAGUUCACACAUUGUCAUUAAAAAGGCAUUUUGAAAUUCACUGUAUUUUAAUUACCUUAAUUUGCAAAUGGUAAGGCAAUUUCCUUCUAAAAUUCAAAUUGUUUCUCUUACUAAGCAGAUUAUUAUCCUGAUCACUUACCACACUCCUAUCAUCCUGUCACUUACGAUACUGCUGUAAACUAAUAAGUGGCCUUUCCACUUAGAAUUUCUUCGUGUGUCUUAGGUUUCAGUUUACUUAAUCCUCCAUGGAAAAGUAUAUAAAUCUGUCCAUCUAAUAUAGAAGAACCUCUCACAACUCUGGUGCAACCACUGACCAUGUUCUUUCACAUAAAUUCUAGAAAUGAAGACACAGCAUCAAAUGUAAGAGUUAAAUUAUAUUGAAAUUUGCUUUUGAAAAAUAUUGAAUCCUUUUAAUAUAAAAAAGUAGGUUCCCUUUAGAGAAAAGUGAUCGAGAUUGCUGACUAGAAGCAGCUAGACUGUGCAGUUCUCAUAGACAGGAAUGCAAGGUAUACAUAAAUACAGCACCUGCAACUGAAACAUCCAGGUACUUGCAUUGGGAAUAAUCAAAGAAACAAUCUAUGGAGAAUGGAGUAAAGCAAGGCAGGACAAUGGGCCACCUGGGAACAACAUGGAGUCUCAGCAGAUAAGCCACUUAGGCCUGCGCAGAUUCAAGAGCCUUAGAUACUGGCUUUCCAGGCUUCCCAGAAAAAGUAGCUGCAACUCGAGCAAAGCAGGUUACACCCCUGAACAUACCCAUAGGAAAGAGGCAGAAUCCAGGGGGCUGAUAGUGAUGGUCUGUAGGACCCACUUCAACAAUGCCUCACGUGGUAAGACCUACUGGCUUAGAUUCCAGCCAACCAUUGGUAGCAGCACUGCACCUCCCUGGGAUGGAGCUACCAGAAAGAGGAGUGGGCCACCAUCUUUACUGCCUGUUAAAGCAGGUCCCCCGUUUCAUUCCUUCUCACUGGAAAGUACUUCCCAAUGAGGGUCUCCAGCUACCACCACCAGCGCUCUUUGGUUGAUGGAGUUUUGAAACCUCUUUGGGAUACAGUUCCUAGAGGGAGGAGUGAGCUGCCAUUUUUGCUGUUUGUGUGAGUUAGCUGUUCCAGCCUUCUGGCUUUGGAGAAUCCAAAUAAACUGGGGGUGGAAGUGGUACCUCUGAAUAGCAGAGCUGUCCUGCAAAAAUAUGGCUAGACUGCUUUCUUAAGUGGGUCCCCAAUCAUGUUUUCCUCACUGGGUAGGACCUUCAACAGGGGCUUCCAGCUACCUCCUACAGGUGCUUUUGGGCUGGCAACAGGUCUAUACCUCCCUGGGAUGGCGCUCCCAGAGAAAAGGGCAUGCUGCCAUUGUUGCUGUUUUGCAGCAUUCAGUGGUGAUAACUUCCAGUACUGGAAAAUCUGAGGUGACUAGAAACUGUAGUGGACACCCAGCAUACUGCAGCAGCCCUUCAGAAGUGGUCGGACUGUUACGUGAGUGCCUGUUCUCAUAUAUUCUCACGAGGCAGGUUCUCCAGGCCCGGGCCACUAGCCAAUCAUUGCCAGAGCUAUUGAGCCAGUAGCAGCUUAGCAACUCCCUGGACAGAGCCUCCAGGGGCCUCUGCAGUACAACUGUCCUUGCUACCCUCAGACUAAUAAAAAAUCCCAAACCCUAAGUGCCUUAUUCACACCUCAAACUGCAGUUUACCCAAGGAGAGGAAGCCAGCCCAUCCUCCAUGGGUCCCACAAACUACCCACUGCUCCUCAGCAGACAGUAAACCCCUAACUUGGCCAAAAGUAAAGAUCUUCCAUCCUGGGCUGGCUGCACUGAGUAAUUGCUGACCUACAUCUCUCUGAGAUGCAGCCCCCAGAAGACAAGCAAAGAGAUAAUGCAGCAAGCCAGCUCAUGUGGUGGCCAGAGGGUUUGGUGCAAGAGCAUCUGUAGUAAAGUGUGGCCAGUGAUGGCCAUUUCUCUAGGCUCAACUGUCUCCCAUAAGAGACUUUAGCCCUACGGGAACUGUUGGGCCUAAUUUCUGCAGGAUGGUCUUGCAAAUCAGAAGAAGCUGGUCCAACUGAGCACUCCUUGGUCUGCUGGCCUCUCCCAGGGACCCAGUCUGGCCACAGCUGCUUACAGGGCAGUCUCAGGUACCCUGGAAGCUCAUACCAGAGCAUCUGCACUGGAGGGACAUGCCUGACUCAUGAAGAGCUCCAGCAAAGCAGCCCCUAUGACUGCACCAGCCCACAUUUCUUCCCCAUACUGCAGCUUCCCGUGACACCAUGGCAACUCCUGAUAUUUCUUUGCUGGCACAUGUCUGCAAAGGCAGGUUUGGCUUUGCUUGCCCCACCAGCAAAUGGGAAUGCAAUAUGCCCCGCCACCCCCAGCAACUGCCAUUGUAGAUGAAACUUUGGUGGGCAGAGAGCCAGAAAACUCCACCCCUGCCUUUGUGCUAACACUGUGCAGAGAACAGGGUAACCUCCCACACUCUGAACAAUCACUCUUUCUUGGGGGGCACAGAGAAGGCAUCAAAACCUUUACUGGCCAGUAUCCUGCCCCAAGCCAACACCACCUUUAGUGCAACAGCACACAGCCUCCAGCAGGUAUCCCCCACUCCCUUCCCAGCUGCUUUGCUCCUGCCACUGAGGUGAGUACCCAAAGACAGGCAGAAAUCCCAUAUCCACUAGCACUCUGCUCCAGCUAUGGCACCUUCAUCCCACAAACUCGCAAACUCCAAAUCUCAAGGAGCCAGAGAACACAGUUGGGGCUCAAAACAAGUCCCCCGGAGUUAGAGUAUGCAGCCUCUGAGUUGUGAGCUGAGCAUUGCCCACCCACCACCACCACCAAACAAAACAAAACAAAACAAAACAAAACAAAAAAAACCUCCCAGGAACAAAGCCUGUUGGCUGCAUCCAUCUUAUACCACAAUCAAAUACUCAAGACCAUCAAAUAGGAUUAAAAAAAAAAAAGCCCAAAGGUCAGCAACCUCAAAGAUAUGCCCACAAAGAUAAGACACAAUCAGUGCAAAGAUAAAAACACAAAAAGCCAGAGUGACUUCUUUCAUCCAAAUGACCAAAUUACAUUUCCAGCAAGGCCUAAGAUGACAGAAGUAGAAUUCAGAAUAUGGGUAGAAACAAACUUCACUGAGUUACAAAAGUAAUUUGCAACCCAAUGCAAGGGAGGAAAAAAAAUUGCAGGAACUGACGGAAAAAACAGCCAGUCUGGAGAAAAAAUGUGGCCAACCUGAUAGAACUGAAAAACACAAUACAAAACCUUUAUAAUGUAAUCACAUAUAUUAACAGCAGAAUAGGCCAAGCAGAGGAAAGAAUCUCAGGGCCUCAAGACUGGCUUUCUGAAAUCAGACAGACAAGAACAGUGAAAAAAGAAUAAAGAGGAAUGAACAAAACCUCUAAGAAAUAUGGGAUUAUGUAAAGAAACCAAAUCUAUGAUGCAAGAGAUUGCCUGAAAGUGAUGGGGAGAAUGAAAACAACUUGAAAUACGUAUUUCAGGAUAACAUCCAUGAGAACUUCCCCAACCUAGAGAGGCCAACAUUCAAAUGCAGGAAAUGUGGAGAACCCCAGUAAGAUACCCCAGGAGAAGGUCAUCCUCAAGACACAUAAUCAUGAGAUUCUCCAGGGUCAAAAUGAAAGAAAAAAUAUGUUAAAGGCAGCUAGAGAGAAAGGCCAGGUCACCUCUAAAAAGAAGCUCAUCAGGAAAACAACAAAUCUUUCAGCUGAAAUCCUACAAGUCAAAAGAGAUUAUAGGGGCCAAUAUUCAACAUUCUUAAAAAAAGAAUUCCAACACAGAAUUUCAUAUCUGACCAAGGUAAGCUUCAGAAGUAAAAAAUAUAUAUGAUCCUAUUCAGACAAGCAAAUGCUGAGAAAAUGUUACCACAGGAUCUGUCUUAAAAGAGCUUCUGAAGAAAGCAUUAAAUAAGAAAAAGACUAUUACCAGUCACUACAAAAGCACACUAAAGUAUACAAACUGUGGACACUAUAAAGCAACCACAGAAACAAAUGUGCAAAAUAGCCAGCUAAGAUCCUAAUAACAGAAUCCAAUCCACACAUAUGAAUACUAACCUUAAAUGUAAA